GACGAACGCUGGCGGCGUGCUUAACACAUGCAAGUCGAACGGUAAGGCCCUGCUCUUGUGGGGUGCUCGAGUGGCGAACGGGUGAGUAACACGUGAGUAACCUGCCCUUUACUUUGGGAUAACUUCAUGAAACUGGGGCUAAUACCGGAUAUGAGCUCCUUCUGCAUGGUUUGUGUUUUAAAGUUUCGGCGGUUGGGGAUGGACGCGCGGCUUAUCAGCUUGUUGGUGGGGUAGUGGCUUACCAAGGCUUUGACGGGUAGCCGGACUGAGAGGGUGACAGGCCACAUAGGGACUGAGAUACGAGCAAGACUCAUACGGGAGGAAGCAGUGGGGAAUAGUGCAAAAUGGGCGGAAGCAUGAAGCAGCAACGCCGCGUGGGGGAUGACGGCCGUCGGGUUGUAAACCGCGUUCGCCUGUGAAGAAGAGUGAGUGACGGUAAUGGGUAAAGAAGCAACGGCUAACUACGUG
This 468-nucleotide ribosomal RNA is filed under the name uncultured bacterium. RNAcentral describes it as "partial 16S ribosomal RNA". It matches the Rfam family "Bacterial small subunit ribosomal RNA", at positions 28 to 507 of the family's 1533-position model. The record is from RNAcentral.